GAAUUAUUUAGUGAAAUUAAAACAGAAAACAAAAGCAAACAGUUAUACACAAAGACCAAGGUGUUGAAUAAAGAUAGUGCUUUGAUUCAGUGCAAGACAGAUGAUGGUGCUGAAUGAGUCGAUCUGAUGUACAGGUUAACCAAGUAUACU
Molecule: non-coding RNA, 150 nt
Organism: Pseudonaja textilis
Lineage: Eukaryota; Metazoa; Chordata; Lepidosauria; Squamata; Elapidae
Source: RefSeq, a predicted model, not a curated record